RNAcentral lists this long non-coding RNA (245 nucleotides) under Elaeis guineensis (African oil palm). RNAcentral's name for it is "long non-coding RNA (EGUI_LNC052979)". The record is from RNAcentral. Lineage: Eukaryota; Viridiplantae; Streptophyta; Magnoliopsida; Arecales; Arecaceae.
GUCUAAGUUCGAGAGUCUAUGGCCACAGUAGUGUGAUUGAUGGAAAAAUUUUUUUACAGAAGUCAUAAUUAGACUUCACCUAAUCGAAUCUAUCAUAUGAUUAAUGUUGAGGUUUGAUGAUUUAUCCAUUACCUGCCAUCUAGUCGGAACUCAUGAUAGAGAGACUGAAUCACAUGUUAACUAUACUUUAAGGUUUAUUUCAGUUCUACUGGGUUACCACUACAUACUGCUAGGUGUCACUGAUG